This 254-nucleotide ribosomal RNA is filed under the name uncultured bacterium. RNAcentral's name for it is "partial 16S ribosomal RNA". It matches the Rfam family "Bacterial small subunit ribosomal RNA", at positions 524 to 776 of the family's 1533-position model. The record is from RNAcentral.
UACGUAGGGUGCGAGCGUUAAUCGGAAUUACUGGGCGUAAAGCGUGCGCAGGCGGUCUGUUAAGACCGAUGUGAAAUCCCCGGGCUUAACCUGGGAACUGCAUUGGUGACUGGCAGGCUUUGAGUGUGGCAGAGGGGGGUAGAAUUCCACGUGUAGCAGUGAAAUGCGUAGAGAUGUGGAGGAACACCGAUGGCGAAGGCAGCCCCCUGGGCUAACACUGACGCUCAUGCACGAAAGCGUGGGGAGCAAACAGG